Molecule: ribosomal RNA, 1000 nt
Filed under: Klebsiella pneumoniae
Lineage: Bacteria; Pseudomonadati; Pseudomonadota; Gammaproteobacteria; Enterobacterales; Enterobacteriaceae
Description: partial 23S ribosomal RNA
Rfam family: Bacterial large subunit ribosomal RNA
Source: RNAcentral
UAAUGGGUCAGCGACUUAUAUUCUGUAGCAAGGUUAACCGUAUAGGGGAGCCGCAGGGAAACCGAGUCUUAACUGGGCGUUAAGUUGCAGGGUAUAGACCCGAAACCCGGUGAUCUAGCCAUGGGCAGGUUGAAGGUUGGGUAACACUAACUGGAGGACCGAACCGACUAAUGUUGAAAAAUUAGCGGAUGACUUGUGGCUGGGGGUGAAAGGCCAAUCAAACCGGGAGAUAGCUGGUUCUCCCCGAAAGCUAUUUAGGUAGCGCCUCGUGAAUUCAUCUUCGGGGGUAGAGCACUGUUUCGGCUAGGGGGUCAUCCCGACUUACCAACCCGAUGCAAACUACGAAUACCGAAGAAUGUUAUCACGGGAGACACACGGCGGGUGCUAACGUCCGUCGUGAAGAGGGAAACAACCCAGACCGCCAGCUAAGGUCCCAAAGUCAUGGUUAAGUGGGAAACGAUGUGGGAAGGCACAGACAGCCAGGAUGUUGGCUUAGAAGCAGCCAUCAUUUAAAGAAAGCGUAAUAGCUCACUGGUCGAGUCGGCCUGCGCGGAAGAUGUAACGGGGCUAAACCAUGCACCGAAGCUGCGGCAGCGACACUAUGUGUUGUUGGGUAGGGGAGCGUUCUGUAAGCCUGCGAAGGUGACCUGUGAGGGUUGCUGGAGGUAUCAGAAGUGCGAAUGCUGACAUAAGUAACGAUAAAGCGGGUGAAAAGCCCGCUCGCCGGAAGACCAAGGGUUCCUGUCCAACGUUAAUCGGGGCAGGGUGAGUCGACCCCUAAGGCGAGGCCGAAAGGCGUAGUCGAUGGGAAACAGGUUAAUAUUCCUGUACUUGGUGUUACUGCGAAGGGGGGACGGAGAAGGCUAUGUUAGCCGGGCGACGGUUGUCCCGGUUUAAGCAUGUAGGCUGGUUAUCCAGGCAAAUCCGGAUAAUCAAGGCUGAGGUGUGAUGACGAGGCACUACGGUGCUGAAGUAACAAAUGCCCUGCUUCCAGGAAAAG